GUGCUCACUUCAGCAGCGCAUAUAUUAAAAUUGGAAUGAUACAGAGAUUAGCAUGGCCCUUGUGCAAGGAUGCCAUGCCAAUUUGUGAAGAGCUCUAUAUAUUU
Molecule: small nuclear RNA, 104 nt
Organism: Callithrix jacchus (white-tufted-ear marmoset)
Lineage: Eukaryota; Metazoa; Chordata; Mammalia; Primates; Cebidae
Source: Ensembl